CGAUAGCUCAGUUGUGUAGAGCGGGGGACUGUAGAUUUAUAAUUGUGAUCCCUAGGUCGCUGGUUCGAAUCCGGCUCG
RNAcentral lists this transfer RNA (78 nucleotides) under Nematostella vectensis (starlet sea anemone). It matches the Rfam family "tRNA", at positions 5 to 66 of the family's 71-position model. From Rfam's summary of the family: Transfer RNA (tRNA) molecules are approximately 80 nucleotides in length. Lineage: Eukaryota; Metazoa; Cnidaria; Anthozoa; Actiniaria; Edwardsiidae. The record is from Rfam by way of RNAcentral.